UGUAUUUAUUAGAUAAAAAACCAAUGCCCUUCGGGGCUUUUUGGUGAUUCAUGAUAACUUUACGGAUCGCAUAGCCUUGCGCUGGCGACGGUUCAUUCAAAUUUCUGCCCUAUCAACUUUCGAUGGUAAGGUAUUGGCUUACCAUGGUUUCAACGGGUAACGGGGAAUUAGGGUUCGAUUCCGGAGAGGGAGCCUGAGAAACGGCUACCACAUCCAAGGAAGGCAGCAGGCGCGCAAAUUACCCAAUCCCGACACGGGGAGGUAGUGACAAUAAAUACUGAUACAGGGCUCUUUUGGGUCUUGUAAUUGGAAUGAGUACAAUUUAAACCUCUUAACGAGGAACAAUUGGAGGGCAAGUCUGGUGCCAGCAGCCGCGGUAAUUCCAGCUCCAAUAGCGUAUAUUAAAGUUGUUGCAGUUAAAAAGCUCGUAGUUGAAACUUGGGCCUGGCUGGCGGGUCCGCCUCACCGCGUGCACUCGUCCGGCCGGGCCUUCCUUCUGAAGAACCUCAUGCCCCUCACUGGGCGUGCUGGGGAACCAGG
This 540-nucleotide ribosomal RNA is filed under the name uncultured eukaryote. RNAcentral describes it as "SSU rRNA". It matches the Rfam family "Eukaryotic small subunit ribosomal RNA", at positions 202 to 746 of the family's 1831-position model. The record is from RNAcentral.